AUUGAACGCUGGCGGCAGGCCUAACACAUGCAAGUCGAGCGGAGCGGCGGACGGGUGAGUAAUGCCUAGGAAUCUGCCUGGUAGUGGGGGAUAACGUCCGGAAACGGGCGCUAAUACCGCAUACUAUCAGAUGAGCCUAGGUCGGAUUAGCGAGUUGGUGGGGUAAAGGCCUACAAAGGCGACGAUCCGUAACUGGUCUGAGAGGAUGAUCAGUCAGACUGGAACUGAGACACGGGACAGACUCCUACGGGAGGCAGAAGGGGGGAAUAUUGGACAAUGGGCGAAAGCCUGAUCCAGCCAUGCCGCGUGUGUGAAGAAGGUCUGCGGAUUGUAAAGCACUGUAAGUUGGGAGGCGUUACCAACAGAAUAAGCACCGGCUAACUUCGUGCCAGCAGCCGCGGUAAUUC
RNAcentral lists this ribosomal RNA (407 nucleotides) under uncultured bacterium. RNAcentral describes it as "partial 16S ribosomal RNA". It matches the Rfam family "Bacterial small subunit ribosomal RNA", at positions 30 to 526 of the family's 1533-position model. The record is from RNAcentral.